AUUCAUUGCUGACUUAGAUCUUUGAUUGUGUCUGAAGACAAUUCUCUCCAGUCAAUCAUCACACCUCAUCUCACAUGUACUACUUGUUUGCGCUGGAUUCGGCAUGUUGUUUCUUUUACAGUGACAAGAUUUUCAAGUUUCUGCACUAAAAACUAUAUUCACAGAUUCACUUCAUUGUUGUUUCACACUUGUUCCAGCUAGUUAGAGCAUGUUAGUCCUGGUGGACUGGCUUGGUGGAGGACAGGCUGAUUACUUUGGGGCCCUUUCCAACAUUUGAAGGAUACAAAAGAAACAAAAAGUAAAAAAUAGAGCCAAGUGUGACAAGUUAAAAGUGUUAUAUUCUCAUCUGCUACAAGUUAAAAACAGACUGUGUCAAGUAAAACGUAUAAUACAAAUGAUUUGUUAACAUUUUAAAAUGUUUAAAAUGACAAUCAGUUCAUGGUCUGUAAUAUCAUAAAAAUGCUUAAAAGGAUUAAAAAAAAAACUCAUAGAAAUGCUGAUAUCAUUAAAAAGAUCAGUCACAAGAAAGAGGUCAUAAGGUGUUAAAACGAUUUAAAAACAGUAAAAACAUGUUAAAAAGCUAAAAAGUAUGUUUUUUAUUUUAUUUCAGUGUUUAUCUGUGACGCUAAAUUAGUCUUAAUCUGAACGGUUCUGGGAUCAACUGUUUGUGUUUCACAUUCCUCGGAGAGGAGGGAACUUCCUCACUUGAGUUACAGUAUUAUAGGAAAUACUGCAUCGCUCUUGUGAUUAUCUGACAGCUUGAAAUACGCCUGUCAGAAUGCGUUCCCCCUCUGUUUAUCAUGAAGGGAUGCUCACACAUCUUUCAAAUUCAUACUGCUGACUUCUUUCACCACCACAGAUAAGUCCUGUGAUUUACAGGCUGAUAUCAUCAUAUUUGACCAUUUUAAACACUUUUUGGCACGACCGUUCGGGCCAUUUCGGACGGGGGCGGGACCAGGGGGAAACACAUCUCGACGGGGGAACUGAUCUCGAUACAACACAUGGUCCUGACGCUCUGACAGAUAAACAAAACGAACGACAAUGACGGACCCGGUGAACUUGUUUACAAUCACUUCUUUCUUCACUGAGGUACCAGAGAGAGUGAAAAAAGGGUUAAACUCAUUUAAUUCCAACAGAGUGGUCAGUGUGGCUGUUCCGCCUGGUGGAAUAAUAAAGGGUAGCGUCCAGGCAUCACAGAAAAAGAGAGUUUACGAGGUUGAGGUGAGUUAUAAAUUAGCCGUAAGCUAUCUAGUUAGUUGACAUCUAAAGAUGAUAACGUUAUGCUAAAAAACGGAUAGGACUGCUACAACUUUUGAUGUAAACGAAGAUGAAAAACUUAAUAUGUCAGUAACGUUAUAGGUCCCUAUAUCAGCUAUGUUUUGGAGUGUUAGUGAAGUUAAGCAAGUUGAAAUAUAAUGAUGUGCCAGCCCCCGGCUAGCAACAGAAAUAUUGUUAGGCUAAGAUGUGUUAGGGUGAGAGAGUUGAAAUGUUUUCAAUGUAACGUCAGGUUCAUGUUGAGGGACAGGCAGUAAAAUACAGCAGUCAGUACCCAAUCGGCCGAGACAAGUGCCACCAUAUGGCAGCUCUGCUGAUCUGGACAGAAAAAAAUGUGUCCCGCACCGAUGUCGAGUGUGUGUGGAAGAGGGCGAAGAUGCCGAAGACGGAAAUCACAGCUAAGCGAGUGUCUGUGAUGGCACCAUCCACAACACAAGCUGGAAUAAAAAGAUCUGUCACCCAGGAGGACAAGGACUGGACAAGGACAAUGACUGGAGGACAAGGCAUGUGACUGGGGAAUCCACCAUGAGGCAAGGGCUAAGCAACAAUUCACGGAUUGCACAGGUGUUGUCAUCCAGGAGAGGGGAUUGUUCUUGUCUCACAGCGGCCUACUCGGUGGUUCUCCAGAAGGGACAGUAUCUGAUGACUGCAUCAUUGAGGUGAAAUGUCCGUGGUCAGCCAGAGCCAAGACCAUCCUACAAGCAGCAGAGAGUAGGGACUUCUUCUUGGAGUUGGAUGAAGAAACUGGUACCCUGGCACUAAAACAACUCCAUAACUACUGGCAUCAGAUCCAGGGCAACCUACAACUGACUGGAGCUAACAGUUGUCACCUCAUUGUAUGGACUCCUCUUGACCUUGUCAUCCUGCCAGUGCUCAAAGAUCCGACGUGGGCUCUUAACAUUGACAUUCUGGAAACAUUUUAUAAAGAGUGUUUCCUUCCAAACAUUGUGUCACAGUUGUAAAUUAAAAACAAAAAGGAGGAGAGGCCAGCAACACUUGGGGCCAAAUCCACAAAAGGAUUGCGCGGCUUUUGCGGCCGCUAAACCGUUGCAAAUGAGACAAAAAGAGAGCGUCUAAUUCACAAAGCACCCGCAAAAGGCGAAUUGCUCCACAAACUGCGCUGCCAAGCAAAUAGUGGCAGUCUGCGCCAGUGCCAUUUGCAUGCAUGCAAAUUAGGUAAUAUUCAUACAUUCGGCGCAAAAUUGCCCCCUUUCUAUGCAAAUAAGCCUCAUUGCAAAAAGCGCCUAAUUCAGAAAGGCCAGCGCUAUUUGCCACACGCAAAAAUAGUGGAGCAAAUACCGCCUUUCAGAAGCGUGUAUUAAACUGCGCGCAAACUCAGCUCAUAAAAGUAACAGGACGGAGUUCAAGAUUCAUCCAUACAUAAGGGGCUGCUUUAUUACAAACAAUUCCACCAUAUAAACAUAUAAAUCUAGAAUGUGUGUGUUUAACAGCUGACCUGUAGGUGUGUGUAGCAAAACAAAGAACAUGAAUUACCAUCAGAUCCUGAUCUGAUCCCGAUCCGGUGUUAAUGAAGUUACUGGUGCUGUGCCUUGUGCGUAAAUGCGCACAGCCUCUUAACAUUUGACAUUUCAUUAGCUUAUGUCAUACAGACACUGAGGUCUGUUGAUGUGUGUGUGGAGAUGAUGGCUAUGUUCUACCACACGAUGGUGGCCAGUGCACUCUUUUUUGCUGCUGUGUGUUGGGGGGGCAGCCUUGCAAUCAAAAACACCAGGCGACUGAACAAACUGGUCAAAAAAGCGGGCUCAGUGUUGGGCAGGAGUCUGGACCCGCUAAGAUCUGUGGUGGAGAGGGGCACACUGGAGAAGCAGGAGCAGCUGCAGCGGCCGGAUCCGCAGCCUCCGCUCACUGCGCUGCAGAACGAGCGGUUCAGGAGAUCCUUGCGUCCUCGCAGCAAUAAGACUGUUUAAGUCGUCCUGAACUCAGUUUCACACACUCACCUCUGCCACAACUGGACUAUAUUUUAGUUUGCACUUUACAUCUAUCUAUCUAUCUAUCUAUCUAUCUAUCUAUCUAUCUAUCUAUCUAUCUAUCUAUCUAUCUAUCUAUCUAUCUAUCUAUCUAUCUAUCUAUCUAUCUAUCUAUCUAUCUAUCUAUCUAUCUAUCUAUCUAUCUAUCUAUCUAUCUGCAUGCGAAAUACUAGUACAAAUACGUGAAAGUUGAGGCUGUUGUGCUCUCUGCAGUUUUCAUUAUGGACCAAUCUGUGCAAAUUGCACUCAGCCGCAAAACUUUAUGGGCGUGUUUGCUCCGGUAUAUCAUUAGAGCAAAAUCUUUUGUGAAUAGGACCUUAAAGGGGACCUAUUAUGAAAAACACGUUUUUUCUUGUUUUAACAUAUAUAAAGUGGUCUCCCCUCACCCUUCCAGCACAGGGGAGACAAAAUACCAUGAAUUUCUGCAAGCUCUCUGACCCCCGCCAGACAGAGUCCCCCAGUGUCACGUGACCUUUUUUUGAGCCAUUCUGAAUCUGCGCCUAUGGUGACGUCACCAUAGGCGCUCAUUUCCAUAGGUUCAGCCUCUGCUGCUGAAACCACGCCCACAACCAGCUCUCUGCCCCGCUGGAGCGGUCCUUCCUUCAGCCAGUUGGACGCGGCGCAGCGGAUCCGGGUUAAAUCAUCCAGGUUCCCGGGUGGUUUGGGAGCUGGGUCCUCGUGGGUCUGUCCCAGGUCGGACCAGCUUCAUCCUCCGAGAUUUUCAGUGAAAUCUGUUGGUUUGAUCCCCGAUAACGGGCGAUGCGCCGCGGAUGCGCUCCGGAGCGAUCUGUGCGCCCCUCGUGGGGUUGCAGCGCCCGUCGCGCAGCAUCCGCCGGGCAGAUCCGGCUGAAAUUCCGCUGGUCGGUCCCCGGGAGUCCCUGCUACCAGUCCAGGCCGGUUCCUGCGGUCCCGGCCGGUCGGAACCGGUCGGAACCGGUCAGAUUCCCCCGUUAAAGCCGCGGUGAUGUGCGAUGCGCCCCAGAGCCACGCCGGGCGCCCAGCGUUCAGCAUCCGCCGGGUAGAUCCGGCUUAAAUAGUGCAUAAAUGUUAUUUAUAUACAACUCAUAUUUUAUUUUUUUAACAAUAAAGUUUCCAUUUGUGAAAAUUCAGUGUUGUGAUAAUUUACAGGCUCGGGCUGCUCUGGCGGAGCGAGGUUUAUUCUCCUCCCCUGCUACACGUCAUUCAGGGAGCCAAUCAGCACAGAGCCUCAUUAUCAUACCCCCCCCUUCCCUUAGAAUGGAGCACAGAAAAAGAGGUUAGAAGCGGUAAAACUAGUGACAGGGCCCACAGGCUGGAUUUAUGAUUUAUGUAGAAAAAACAAGCUUUAGAUUGUUUUUAAGACAUUCAAGGCCUGUUUAAAAUAUACAUUAAAUGCCAUAAUAGGUCACCUUUAAAGCGGGGCAAAUUGCGGGCGCUAAUGCAGCGCAAUUCACAGCGCUAUUUGCGGGCGCAAUCUAUUCUUUGUGGAUUUACCCCAAAGUGUUGCUGGCCUCUCCUCCUUUUGUUCUAAGUACAUGUUUUACUUAAGUACAGUUCUGAGGUACUUGUAUUUUACUUGAGUAUUUCCGCUUUGUCCUACUUUUUACUUCCACUCCACUACAUUUCUGGUAAAUAUUUUAAACAUUUUUUCUGGUAAAUAUUGUACCUUCUACUCCACUACAUUUAUUUAACAUCUUUACUUUUCAGAUGAAGAUUUGACGAUGUUAAUGUCUGCACUUGAACAUACCCUACAUUCAUGAUCUGUAAAUACUAAUGUCCUUAUCAGUUUACGCUGUUAUAAUAAAUUAAGU
Cololabis saira (Pacific saury) is the source of this 5053-nucleotide long non-coding RNA. RefSeq lists it as uncharacterized. The record is from RefSeq and is a predicted model, not a curated record. The transcript has 3 exons. Lineage: Eukaryota; Metazoa; Chordata; Actinopteri; Beloniformes; Belonidae.